Molecule: long non-coding RNA, 1073 nt
Filed under: Phasianus colchicus (ring-necked pheasant)
Lineage: Eukaryota; Metazoa; Chordata; Aves; Galliformes; Phasianidae
Description: lncRNA (ENSPCLG00000021052.1)
Source: RNAcentral
UCUUCCUUUUUUUUUUUUUUUUUUUUUUUCUGUUCUUAAUUCUUUUCCUUAACUUUACCUUCCAGAGAGCUUACAGGUAAAUUGCGUGCACAAGUAGUGGCAAGUGCAGGGACUUGCACGAUACGGUGGAGGGAAUGGAGGCCAUUCAGAGGGACCUUGACAGGCUGGAAAGCUGGGCUCGGGUGAACCUAAUGAGGUUCAAUAAGGCAAAGUGCAAGGUUUUGCACUUGGGCCGGAAGAACCCCAGGCACCUGUACAGGCUGGGGGGAGUUGUCCUUGAGAGCAGCUCGGCAGAGAAAGACCUAGGGGUCCUGAUAGAUGAGAAACUUAACAUGAGCCAGCAGUGCGCUCUGGCAGCCCGGAAAGCAAAUGGGAUCCUGGGCUCCAUCAGGAGAGGGGUGGUCAGCAGGGAUAGGGAGGUGAUUGUCCCUCUCUACUCUGCUCUUGUGAGGCCCCAUCUGGAGUACUGUGUUCAGGUGUGGAGCCCUCAGUACAAAAAAGACAUGGAGAUUUUGGAAAGGGUCCAGAGGAGGGCCACGAAGAUGAUCAGGGGGCUGGAGCACCUCCCCUAUGAGGACAGGCUGAGGGAGUUGGGUUUGUUCAGCCUGGAGAAGAGAAGGUUGCGGGGCGACCUCAUUGCAGCCUUUCAAUAUCUGAAGGGAACUUACUCCCAGGAGGGGAGUAAACUCUUCAUAAGGGCUGAUAAUAGCAGGACACGGGGAAAUGGUUUUAAGUUAAAAGAGGGAAGAUUUAGGUUGGAUGUUAGGGGGAAGUUUUUUACUAGGAGGGUGGUUAGGUCCUGGAACAGGCUGCCCAGGGAUGUUGUGGAUGCCCCGUCCUUGGAGGUGUUCAAGACCAGGUUGGACGAGGCUCUGGGCAACCUGAUCUAGUAAAGGUGUAUGUUUGGUGGCCCUGCUAGGCAGGGGGGUUGGAACUACAUGAUCCUUGAGGUCCCCUCCAACCCAGGUCAUUCUGUGAUUCUGUGAUUCUGUGAUUCUGUGACUAUUUAGGAAGCCUGCUCCACAGAGCAGCUGGCAGUUCUUCUGCUGAGUGCUGUGAUGUGGUUUGUCUUU